CGUAGGGUGCAAGCGUUAUCCGGAAUUAUUGGGCGUAAAGAGCUCGUAGGCGGUCUGUCGCGUCUGCUGUGAAAACCCGAGGCUCAACCUCGGGCCUGCAGUGGGUACGGGUAGACUAGAGUGCGGUAGGGGAGAUUGGAAUUCCUGGUGUAGCGGUGGAAUGCGCAGAUAUCAGGAGGAACACCGAUGGCGAAGGCAGAUCUCUGGGCCGUAACUGACGCUGAGGAGCGAAAGCGUGGGGAGCGAACAGGAUUAGAUACCCUGGUAGUCCACGCCGUAAACGUUGGGAACUAGAUGUGGGGUCCAUUCCACGGAUUCCGUGUCACAGCUAACGCAUUAAGUUCCCCGCCUGGGGAGUACGGCCGCAAGGCUA
RNAcentral lists this ribosomal RNA (373 nucleotides) under uncultured organism. RNAcentral describes it as "bacterial SSU rRNA". It matches the Rfam family "Bacterial small subunit ribosomal RNA", at positions 526 to 896 of the family's 1533-position model. The record is from RNAcentral.